CGAUUUGUACUUGCCACUAGCUGGUGUUAAAUGUCGCACAAAUAGUUUAUAUUUAUAUGGCCGUUGAACUAUCAGCUAGAAUAACAUAGAGGAAAAACAAAGUAAUUUUACCAACUCAUGUAUUUUUUUUUUGUAUAUGUUAAUACAUGUGCAUUCUUGAAUUAUGAUUAGUUGAUAUAUUAGUUUAGUAAUACAUAUCAUGUAUGAUUUCAGUACAAAUGUUUUUAUUAAUCAUAUUACGUUACUAUAUAAAAAUGUUGAUGCAACACAUGAGUAUCUGAUUCAAUAGGGUUCAACUUGGUAAGUGAUUGAUAGUGUACUAAACUCGGAUUCAUCGAUGAUGGCAUUGUAUCUUCUGUUGGUUCGUUUGUAUGUUCACUCAAUGAGAAUUGAUUGUUAGGAAUAGAGCUCAAUUGAUAAAUGUGUUCAACUGAAUUUCGAUUGUUUGAUAAUGAUUCAUAAUUGUUGUAGUUGCUUUCUUCCUGGUUGGUUCACAUUGAGUUGUGUUAAAUCCGCUUUCAUUCCUCUGAGGAAUAACGAUAUCUUUCAUUUCAUUGUAAUUUAUAUCAGCAUAACUAGGUAAAUCAUUCCUAUCUGUCAUAUGUUGAUAUUGUAGAAUCUCACAAGGAGGCAAAUCGUUACCUCGUUUUCGUUUGAGGCAAACAGCUAAGAUGACAACGAAAGCAGCCAAAAAUAAUAAGACCACAACAGGCACGAAAACCAGUGUAUAUUGAGGAAUCAGCU
RNAcentral lists this long non-coding RNA (744 nucleotides) under Mytilus galloprovincialis (Mediterranean mussel). Lineage: Eukaryota; Metazoa; Mollusca; Bivalvia; Mytilida; Mytilidae. The record is from RNAcentral.